AGAGUUUGAUCCUGGCUCAGGAUGAACGCUAGCGGGAGGCCUAACACAUGCAAGUCGAACGGGAUCCCCGAGCAAUCGGGGUGAGAGUGGCGCACGGGUGAGUAACGCGUAUGCAACCUACCUUUAACAGAGGGAUAGCCCAUAGAAAUGUGGAUUAAUACCUCAUAGUUCUGAGAAGUCGCAUGAUUUUUCAGAUAAAGCUCCGGCGGUUAAAGAUGGGCAUGCGUGACAUUAGCUAGUUGGUAAGGUAACGGCUUACCAAGGCUACGAUGUCUAGGGGUUCUGAGAGGAUGAUCCCCCACACUGGUACUGAGACACGGACCAGACUCCUACGGGAGGCAGCAGUGAGGAAUAUUGGUCAAUGGGCGCAAGCCUGAACCAGCCAUCCCGCGUGAAGGAUGAAGGUCCUAUGGAUUGUAAACUUCUUUUAUACACCAAGAAAAACACCCACGUGUGGGUGCCCGACGGUAGUGUAUGAAUAAGCAUCGGCUAACUCCGUGCCAGCAGCCGCGGUAAUACGGAGGAUGCAAGCGUUAUCCGGAUUCAUUGGGUUUAAAGGGUGCGUAGGCGGCUCUUUAAGUCAGUGGUGAAAUCCUGCCGCUUAACGGUAGAAUUGCCAUUGAUACUGAAGAGCUUGAGUACAGUUGAGGUAGGCGGAAUGUGUAGUGUAGCGGUGAAAUGCUUAGAUAUUACACAGAACACCGAUUGCGAAGGCAGCUUACUAAACUGUUACUGACGCUGAUGCACGAAAGCGUGGGGAGCGAACAGGAUUAGAUACCCUGGUAGUCC
This 789-nucleotide ribosomal RNA is filed under the name uncultured bacterium. RNAcentral describes it as "bacterial SSU rRNA". It matches the Rfam family "Bacterial small subunit ribosomal RNA", at positions 8 to 796 of the family's 1533-position model. The record is from RNAcentral.